Molecule: ribosomal RNA, 253 nt
Filed under: uncultured bacterium
Lineage: Bacteria
Description: partial 16S ribosomal RNA
Rfam family: Bacterial small subunit ribosomal RNA
Source: RNAcentral
UACGGAGGGUGCAAACGUUGCUCGGAAUCAUUGGGCGUAAAGCGCACGUAGGCGGUUCGGUAAGUCGGAUGUGAAAUCUCCCGGCUCAACUGGGAAACUGCAUCGGAAACUGAUCGGCUUGAAGAUGGGAGAGGGUAGUGGAAUUCCCGGUGUAGUGGUGAAAUGCGUAGAUAUCGGGAGGAACACCAGUGGCGAAGGCGACUACCUGGCCCAUUCUUGACGCUGAGGCGCGAAAGCUAGGGGAGCGAACGGG